GGGGGUUGUUUGACACCAGGCGUCGCCCCGCUCCACUACGCCGCAUCUUUCAUGGCAAAUAAAAAAUAUUUAUAGCGCGUUGUCGGUCGUAUGGUUCCGCAUAUGGUAUUUAGAAGCAACAAAGUCUCUAGUCACAUCACCGGCAUAUCAUGCUUGUCUACUGCUUUACAGUACCUUUAAGUUACGACUUCGUCGUGUUCACAGGUGCACCGGUGAUGUGACCGAAUUACGCAACGUCGCGCUGGAAGAGGUACAAGAACGUACAAAAGGAGGCCAGAGAGUUGUUGCAACAAAUUGAAGAUGGCCAGGGCAUUUUUUUUUUAAAUCUCAUCUCCAGCAUUCGUGAAGAAAGUGGUGUUAUUAUAUACAUUAUAUAUUAUAUAUGGUAUAUACUAUAUACUAUAAACACUCAUAUAUCUAAGUAUAUAAAUAAAGUCCCUUAGACCCGGUCCUCUUUAAUUUUACAGUGUAAUAUAUGUGUUGCUAAGGGCAAAACGACACUCGUUGAACACCUUGUAUGUGGUCUCCUUCCUCUACCGCAGGUUGACUUUCUGGCAUGCAUUGGACGAGCAACACUACCUUCUUCAGUUAUCCUCAUCAUGAAAUGCUUAUUGACCAAUGACCUUGCCUUAAAACACAGCCUCAGGGGUCUGCAGAAGAAAAAGGCUUUCCAGCAACUCGCCCUUCGUGGAUGUGUUGUUAUGGAGGCAGUGAAACGGUGCUAGAGAAGGUGAAAUUGGACGACGCAUAGGAAAGCUAGCUGAAGAAAGAAGCUGAAAGUUAGGCGGAAAAGAGGAGAGAUAAAAGAGGGUGGGGCCAGAGGACGGACGAUUGAUAGUCAGAUACCAAGUACACACAUCUAUGGAGGAGCACUGUCAGGCAUGCGUGCUGUUUUGUAAUAUUUUGUACCUGCAAUACGUUGACCUUUAUGUCUGUGAUGCUUUAAAACAUAGUAUUAAACAGUCAUACUGAUA
Molecule: long non-coding RNA, 974 nt
Organism: Ornithodoros turicata
Lineage: Eukaryota; Metazoa; Arthropoda; Arachnida; Ixodida; Argasidae
Exons: 3
Source: RefSeq, a predicted model, not a curated record